GAUGAAGAACGCAGCGAAAUGCGAUACUUGGUGUGAAUUGCAGAAUCCCGUGAACCAUCGAGUCUUUGAACGCAAGUUGCGCCCGAAGCCAUUAGGCCGAGGGCACGCCUGCCUGGGCGUCACACGUCGUUGCCCCCCCAUCUACUCCUUCGGGAUUGCGGGGGGCGGAUGAUGGCCUCCCGUGCGCCUCGCCGCGCGGUUGGCAUAAAUGCCAAGUCCUCGGCGACGCACGCCACGACAAUCGGUGGUUGCGAAACCUCGGUUGCCCGUCGUGUGCGGUCGUCGCGCAUCGAGGGCUCGAAAAAAAUGCCGGGUUCCGGCUCGGCUUUCAACGCGACCCCAGGUCAGGCGGGGUUACCCGCUGAAUUUAAGCAUAUCAAUAAGCGGAGGA
This 391-nucleotide unclassified non-coding RNA is filed under the name soil metagenome. RNAcentral describes it as "partial contains 5.8S ribosomal RNA, internal transcribed spacer 2, and large subunit ribosomal RNA". The stretch from base 1 to 122 matches the Rfam family "5.8S ribosomal RNA", at positions 35 to 154 of the family's 154-position model. The record is from RNAcentral.